CCCUUAGAUGUUCUGGGCCGCACGCGCGCUACACUGACGAAUGCAACGAGCUUAUAACCUUGGCCGAAAGGUCUGGGUAAUCUCCAAAUUUCGUCGUGAUGGGGAUAGAUUAUUGCAAUUAUUAAUCUUCAACGAGGAAUGCCUAGUAAGCGCAAGUCAUCAGCUUGCGUUGAUUACGUCCCUGCCCUUUGUACACACCGCCCGUCGCUCCUACCGAUCGAAUGGUCCGGUGAAGCGUUCGGACCGUGGCCUUUGGACGGUUCGCCGUCUGUUGGCUGCGGGAAGUUCGUUAAACCUUAUCAUUUAGAGGAAGGAGAANUCGUANCA
RNAcentral lists this ribosomal RNA (327 nucleotides) under uncultured eukaryote. RNAcentral describes it as "partial 18S ribosomal RNA". It matches the Rfam family "Eukaryotic small subunit ribosomal RNA", at positions 1470 to 1796 of the family's 1831-position model. The record is from RNAcentral.